CCUAUGUUCCCACAGCCCUAAGAUGUUUUUUCAAAAUUAGGCCCAAAGUUCCCACAUUUACUUUUGCAUGAAUUUGUAUCAGAUUUUAU
This is a long non-coding RNA of Etheostoma cragini (Arkansas darter), 89 nucleotides long. RefSeq lists it as uncharacterized. The record is from RefSeq and is a predicted model, not a curated record. The transcript is spliced from 3 exons. Lineage: Eukaryota; Metazoa; Chordata; Actinopteri; Perciformes; Percidae.